AGGACGAACGCUGGCGGCGUGCUUAACACAUGCAAGUGGAGCGACGAACCGGGGCUUGCCCCGGGGCAGAGCCGCGAACGGGUGAGUAGCACGUGAGCAACCUGCCCCGAAGACUGGGACAACACCGGGAAACCGGUGCUAAUACCGGAUAUCCCUAUCGGACCGCAUGAUCUGAUAAGGAAAUGUUUUUCGCUUCGGGAGGGGCUCGCGGCCUAUCAGCUAGUUGGUGAGGUAAUAGCUCACCAAGGCGUCGACGGGUAGCUGGUCUGAGAGGACGAUCAGCCACACUGGGACUGAGACACGGCCCAGACUCCUACGGGAGGCAGCAGUGGGGAAUCUUGCGCAAUGGGCGAAAGCCUGACGCAGCAACGCCGCGUGGAGGACGAAUGCUUUCUGAGUUGUAAACUCCUUUCAGCAGGGACGAUUGUGACGGUACCUGCAGAAGAAGCACCGGCCAACUACGUGCCAGCAGCCGC
RNAcentral lists this ribosomal RNA (476 nucleotides) under uncultured bacterium. RNAcentral's name for it is "SSU rRNA". It matches the Rfam family "Bacterial small subunit ribosomal RNA", at positions 26 to 518 of the family's 1533-position model. The record is from RNAcentral.